RNAcentral lists this long non-coding RNA (4629 nucleotides) under Bemisia tabaci. RNAcentral's name for it is "lncRNA ENSSSA3NGG000847". Lineage: Eukaryota; Metazoa; Arthropoda; Insecta; Hemiptera; Aleyrodidae. The record is from RNAcentral.
UGUGUUAUAAAGUUGGCGUUUUGUGUACGCCUCCCCUCCCGCUCCGGGCCUUCCUUCUCGCUGCUUUCCCGCCAUUUAACAACUUGUUUACACCUCUUAUCAAACCGGUCAAAGCACUCUGUGUGAUUGCUCUGUGUCAUCAUUAAUCUUCAAGUUAAUUUCACAGUAAAUCUUUUCUUUAUCUUAUUUACGUAGACACAAGACACAUCCGCUCUCUAACUCAGUUCUUCAGAUGUGUGCUCAAAAUCAAUCAAUAGUCUGCUUUAACGAGAAAAAGUUCGAAUCCUUCUCUCAUGUCACAAGCCAAACCAAGUGCCCCAGCAAUUUUGUCUCGUCCUGUCUGGAAGUUGUGAAGCUGUUACUUGCAAUUGCAGUGUCCGUGGCAAAUACGAUUAUUUACAACGUUCAUCCUGUUCAAGCUGUGGACUUUCAUCAGUGGAUCAGUCAAAGACACUGUCAUAGCCUUUGUGGAAUGCGUUAUGAAUAAUUUAAAGCUGAAGAGGUUAGCGGCUAGCCAAUGGAUACGAAAAUCUUCAAUCACUCAGUUUCAUCCCAAGGUAUGUUACUCUCACAUUUCUGAAAACCCAAAAAGUCACCUCACUGCCUCUCUGCAUGGUAGUAAUAUUUAUAAAAACCAAUCAAAUUUCUCUUGUGCUCAUUCAGUUUCUAGCAAUAAAUUUUGCAUGAUCACAGCGUUCUCGCAUUGUUCACAAUCGCACCAAUUGCACACAACGUCACGAUACAGCAUGCCACCAUUUAUUUCACGCCGUGUCUAUAUCCAGUGGCACCCUUCAGGCAUGCCACCCUCGGCACCGUCGGAGCCAAAUCUACUCUGGUUCUCAGUGACACCUCCGCACCAGAGGGAACGGGCCGAUUUGUUGAUGUUCGAAUACAUCAGCACGCCCUUGCUAAACCGAACAAUAACAUCUUGUCCGCAGCUGAUAUUGAUUGGGCCAUUGCCGGGGUUUGCACUUCAACACCCCUGAAUCCAGAACAUCAAAAAAAUAAAGAAGUUGUGUACACUCGCAAAGCAUCGUUUUUGCACGAGAUCGAUUCGCGCGGCAGUGACUAUACUGAUGAAGGGCUUAUGUGUCCAGCAACUGAUGGUUCGGGUGAUGAGCUGGAACAUGCUGUCAUUUUCAACCCUGAGAAAGGGGUUUUGAUGGCUUGUGAAGAACGUUGGACGGAUUCAGACGCGGAUCUGCUUCCUGGGCGCAACAGGAAGGAGUGCAUUAUUAUGAGGAUUCGGCGGACGACGGAAAACGCACUCAAAGGCCAGCUCCUUUUACUCGGAACGCACAUGCAGGCAAUCGUCGCUGGGAACUCCGGGGAACUACAUCUGCAGCGGUGGGAGUAUAGAACGAAUGAUAUAGGUAGCUGGGAGCUCAUUGCAUCAUUGGGGGCUGAGGGAAUCAUUCCGAGCCCAGAUCACGUCUUGGCAGGAGAGGAUUUAAAAGUCGACGGUCUCGUAUGGGAAGUUAUUAAAAAGAUUCAAUGGUAACACAGCAACUGGGAUUUAACUCCUCACCAUUUGGUCUUACGAACUAAGUGAUGAAAGAACUGAAAAGUUUCAGUUUCAUCGUCUGUUUUUUCAUUCCCGUUCAUUUUGUUUUUUAUUAAAAAAAUCAACAUACUGAUUGAAAUUUAAGUGGAAUAUUUUCGGUAAAAAAAAAAUUACAACUCCUUGAAUAUAUCCCUUCACUCCUUGAACUCCUUUAAUGAUGGUUGGUUUUACAACACGAAAUCUCAGACAUCCUAAAUUGACGUUUAUUUUUUCCUAGCUUCUUGACUGAUUUGUGCCUAGAAAAUCUCUCUCUCAAUAAUUUGAUGGAAUAAAUUAAAACAAAAAUGUAAGGGGUAGGGUAGCACAGAACUUAACAAUCGUAUCCAAUUAAAAUAUUCGAUCUUACAAGGUUCCAAUCUUUUAUUUUUAUCGAGAAAAGUGGUUGAUGAAGUAUCCUGUUAAUCAUACCAUAGAUCCUAGAUUAUUCUAAAUAAUGGCAACUGGCCAGCUUAGAGAUUAAGAAAUUGGGUCGUCUUAAGUUAAUUCGUCAGGACCCAUGACAAAUUAAACAUUUCCCCUUCAAAGUAAAGUUGAUGUUACUUGUGAAUUGAGACUGUUGUUGACUCGAUACAACAAUCAGUCGUGAUACAGCGCGCCUUGCAAAGUUUAUACAAGGUGUCCCAGACUACCCCUGGGUUCCCGUCAAAACAAGCUUUUUGCAGCACAAAAACGCCGCUGGGAGAUGACCUUUCCUACUUUCUCCCAAUAACAAAUCAUCUUUUAGGAAAGUUGAUAUUCUGAAAUUUUACAAUUAUUAGGUUUAAAUUGUGCUAAACAUUUUCUAAAAAUUUUAAAAAUAAGAGUUUGAAAUUCUCGCUUAACAGGAAUAAAUUUGGAAAUGCUCAAGACUUCAUACGUCGUUUUCCCUUUACGCUUCCGUAAUGAUAUACAUGUAUGAUCGUAAGACCAUGAUAUCAGGUAUAACGUCAUGAUGCAAUUAUUCGUGCUCUGUGGACAUCCGUGUUGCGUGCUAAAAAUUGAAGGCGCCCCGAUUUUUCUAGCGGUGCUUGCAGCGAUACGCUGUCACGACUCGGUGUGGCGGUGGGAUGUAAUAUCAGGGUUGCCACAGUCAUGGAAUAAAGAGAAAUGUCAGGGAAUUUGAAAAAGUCAGGGAAAAUUACUAAAGUUACAGGGAAGAACAGUUAAGUCACCUACAUUUCCUCUCUAGAAUGGGUUUAACGUUUCGAACAACAAAUUUUGCCUGACGACUAUUUAAAAUUGUGCCAUUUUAACCAUCUGGCAUAUCGACGGCGUAAGUCCGCAACCACAUAUCUCGUUUGCAGUGUCUGGAAAUCUCCACCUCUUUGUUAUUUUUCAAAGGAGGACAAAUUGACAUCAUUCCUUGAAGUUUUUGCAGAAUUCUCUUCACACUGAGAAGAAAAUCACGGCGGUUUUAAAAAAUCACCGUCAAGAAGUUUUCCGUUUAAAAAAUAAAGUAUGACAGGAAGUCUGCGACGUCGCAAACCGAGUGAUGUGAUUGCUGACUUACACCGUCGAUAUGUUCAACUGUCAUACAGGGUUAUUCAAAAGUCACGCACCCAUUGGCCAUAACUUUAGUUCUAAUUAUGAUUUUGUGGUUUAAGACGUUUUCCCUCAUAUCGAGGGGGAAACUUUUUUAGGUACUUUCCAGUUUUUGAUCCCCUUGGGGGAAGGGGGCGGGAGGCAACUCAAAAAUUUCAAAUGGCCACCCCCCCCCCCUCAUGGCCAGUGGUGAGUGACUUUUGAAUAACCCUGUAAAAUGGAAGUGUUUGGGAAAUUCAGUCUCUAAAUUCUGUGGGUGUCCUGAAUAUCCCAGUAUGUGAAAAUGGUGCGAAAGUAUCCUUUCUUGCUCUCUUGCCUUAGUUUUAUCCGAGAAUUUCGGCAUUCGUAACUGGGCGCCAAACGCCUUUACGCCCACCGCUUCAUGGACGAGCGUAGUCGGAGCGCCUUCCAUUUUUUCACACGCAACACGCGUGUCCAUAGAGUACGAAUAGUUGUAUCAAUGCAAGGCGUCAUUAUCAAAAUCAUUGAAUGCGUUGCUUUUGACUGAGAUAUUAACACUGAAAGUCCCGCCCCUUCUUAUUCUACUUGUGUGUCGUUCAAAAUAUCAAUUAAAAAAUUGCUAAUAUUUUGAAGUUGUUAGGUUAAGAAACAACUUCAAUCGCCUUUUUUCUGUUAAUCUCACAAUAAAUUUCAUCCGUUGAUGUUACUUGGAGAUUGAGACUGGUGUUGACGCUACGAUGUAGCGGUCGGUCGUGAUACAGCGUUGCGCAGUUUAUAAAAGGUGUCCCACAUCAACCGUGCCAAGCUUUUUUCGCGGUUAUUUGGACCGCGUUAAACAGAAAGGAACCAAGCCCCAUCAGCUAUUGCCAAAUUUAACAGGGGAAUUCGAUAUUGUACGAGAGAACGUUUGUGCGGAUUUCUUUGAAAAUUUUAAGGAAUUUGCUUUGUAUUAUGGAGAAAAUUCAUAGAAAUUUGCACAAAAAUCUGCACAACCAUUUUCAUGUAAAACAUUAAAUUGCCCGAUUAAAUUUGUCAAUAGCUGAUGUUGCUUGGUUCCUUUCUGUUUAACGCGGUCCAUUUUAAUUCUGAAAUUAGGGAGAGAAAAAACCUGGCGAAGGGGUGAUCUGGGACACCUUGUAUACAUUUUGCAACGCUGUAUCUCGACUGAUCCCUGGAUCGUAGUGUCAACACCAGUCUUAAUCUCCAAGUAGGAUCCCGAAUGGACUUUUACUGAAAGAUUUCGAUUUUCCGGACAAUGCGUACCCCAUCUCAAAAGCCGGGACUAGUCUUAGAACUCGCAAAUAAUAUACGGGGGGGGGGGGGGGGCACCUACAGCGUGCAUACAAAUGCUAGGCGGAAACCUCGAUUUUGGUGGACAAUUUUGGGUUUGUAAAAGUCUAGAAGGGGUAGAAUUCCCUUCCGGUCAUCUUUCCGAAUUGAAAGCUGAAAAAUAUAUUGUAAUUGGACCGCGUUAAGCAAAAUGGAACAAAGCCACAUCAGCUAUUUCCGAAAAUCGAGAAAUUUAAUUUCUUACAUGAAAACGGCUGUGCGGAUUUUUAUGCAAAUUUCAGUGAACUUUCUGC